UGAGUAACCUGCCCUUAACUCUGGGAUAAGCCUGGGAAACUGGGUCUAAUACCGGAUAUGACUCCUCAUCGCAUGGGUGGGGGGUGGAAAGCUUUUUGUGGUUUUGGAUGGACUCGCGGCCUAUCAGCUUGUUGGUGAGGUAAUGGCUCACCAAGGCGACGACGGGUAGCCGGCCUGGAGGGGGUGACCGGCCACACUGGGACUGAGACACGGCCCAGACUCCUACGGGAGGCAG
Molecule: ribosomal RNA, 235 nt
Filed under: uncultured bacterium
Lineage: Bacteria
Description: partial 16S ribosomal RNA
Rfam family: Bacterial small subunit ribosomal RNA
Source: RNAcentral